GUCGUUUGCCCUCCUUGGGCGUUUCCUCCCUAGACUUAGGCCGCUCGCCUCGCGAGCGGCCUUUUUUUCGUCUAUU
Molecule: small RNA, 76 nt
Filed under: Hansschlegelia beijingensis
Lineage: Bacteria; Pseudomonadati; Pseudomonadota; Alphaproteobacteria; Hyphomicrobiales; Methylopilaceae
Description: Makes More Granules Regulator RNA (mmgR)
Rfam family: Makes More Granules Regulator RNA (mmgR)
About the family: SuhB later renamed mmgR (makes more granules regulator) was a putative non-coding RNA found multiple times in the Agrobacterium tumefaciens genome and related alpha-proteobacteria.
Source: Rfam by way of RNAcentral